GCCCCUUUAUCCAGCCUGCAGCUUUCUUGACCUUUCCUUUUGUCCUCUCGCAUUCAUCCAUGCCUGGUUGAUUCUCCGUGUGCUUGUUUGUCCUGCCCACUUGUCAUUUUGCCUUCGAGAAAGAUUUUACUAGGAUCGAAACGUCAGACCCUCCAUGUUUUGAGAUUCUUGCACGAGUGACUACGAAAGAAUACCAUCUGACUGCCUGAGAGGUUCUGCUGGCUUUUCUCUUACCUGUCGCCAUUGCCUUAGUACCGUCUUCAGUUUUUGUCGCUUUUCCACUUUUCAACAGUGCGACGAGCCUGCAAGUUUCUUUGUGGAAGUCCUUACAAGUUUAUAUAGAGGUGCCCCCUCAGCUGUAGCACCCUAGUUACGCCACUGUUUAUCAGUCGCCAUCGGCAUUUGAUUCUGUACCUCGUAUAAAGAGCAUCCUAAUCUACCUCUGCUGACAAGAACUGCACCGGGCCAGCUCAACUGAAUGAUAACAUGGAGGAUUAUAAGCCCAUCAGUAUAAUAUAGUUGUUCCGAAAUGGUUCCGAAGCCCUUCAUCAUGGUUAGGCUACAUUGUAAAGUUACCGGUUGUUGCCAGGUCACGCCGAUUGUGAUUGACCACGUUGUUGACAGUCGGCCGCUGACGUCAGCCAGGGGGGACUGCUGCCAGUGUCAGGCAUUGCCGUCAAGUCCAACACAAGGCUGCUCAGAAUCUCGACAAUUUUUUGCCAAGACGUCAAUUUAGGUAGGUUACGGCAAGCUUCGAGAAUCACACGCCUAUGACCAUACCACUUUAAAAACACCGGUUCUCGUCCGAUCACCGAAGUUCAGCAGCCUCGGCCUUGGUUAGUUCUUACAUGGGGGACCGCCUGGGAAUACCAAGUUUCGUAGGCCUCUUUUUUUAAUCAAUUUUUUCAAAGGUUGUAUAUUUGUAUGCUUUUCUGAAAGUCUUGAUCUAAUCCAUGUUAUUCGCAUAAGCGAAGCACCUAGGACGUUUUUAUUGCCCUAAAGUCCACAGUCGGUUUUCCUGAUUAUGAAAGAGUCAAGUCAGAAUUGAGGAUGCUCAGAAUCCAAACAAUUUCUUUGCAAGCCAGCGUUCAGGUAUGGGAUACGUUGAAAAUGGAAAAAAAUGAGGAUUUGGUUGAAGUUCAACUAAUGUUUAGUUUGUAUAAAGGUCAUUUUUUGGCAAUUUAUUUGGCCACAGAAGUACAAGAGUUGUAGCUCAGUCAACUCGCGUUCAAUCUUUUAAAGGAGUGCGAUCGCAUUUAGUUUAACUGUAAAUAAAGCAGAGCAAAUGAAAAGAGAAAAAUGAACAACGUACUAUCCUCCUUGCAGUGUUUAGGCCUAAUUAAAUUAUGCGAACCGCAAUUCGACAGCCAGCCAAAAUCCAAUUAAGUGAAUACUAGAGUCCGGGAUAAACUUCUUAAACUCCGAUUUAUUCUGUGUUGUUACUGAACACGGAGUGAAACUGAAAUAUAAAGCGAGAACAAACUAAGUAAAUUAGACUGUGUCCUAAAUAUAUGUAGGCCCUACGUGUAAACACAUGCAAUACAUGUAGCUAAACUACAUAAACCGUGGGAGAAAAAUGACAGAAAAAAAAUGUUCGCAAAUAUGGAUCUAACUGUGAGAAACAUGAAUAAAUUAGAGAGAAAAAUACAUGUACCUCGAUAUAAUGUGAAAGUCUCCUCAACCAGUUGUAAAAUGUUACGCAGCAGAAAGUUUCCAAGAAACUAAGGCCCAAAAUCGCUUAUAAAUUCUAUAAUGAUUUAUAUAACGACCAAGAUUCCAAGGAGAGUAACUUACUUACAGGCAAUGAUUGCAAAAACGUAAAGCAAGGUUGGCAAUUUGGAACUUCAUCCCAAACGAUGUGGAUCUGAGCAAAACGUGAGCGAGUUUUCUAGACAACAAUAAGCAUAUAAACAAUUUUACAAUCAAGAGAGGGCGCCAUACAUAAAACUUGGACAGGUGUUCCAUAAACGAUGUAAAGAGCAAAAUGAGUAAUGGAAAGAACAAUAUAAACAAUGAAAAGAGCAAAAUGAGCAGAGAAAAGAGCAAAUCACGAGCAGUGAUAUACAUAUUCAUGUCUUAUAUACAUUAUGUAACGAACGAUUUCAUUUGUUUCUUGUCAUUUAAAUCAUCCAUCCAAGGGCCGACAUGAAUGUUAUUUCUGCAGUCAAACCCCGGCUAUGAGUGUCACCAGCGUAACACAUGCUUUGGAUGGAAGUCUUAUCUAGAGAGGUACAUAGAAAAUAUCCACGCUGAAGAGGAAUCAGACAUAAAUGAAGUUGACGAUGAUUGAGAACUUUUUGAGUUUGAUGACGAAACCUCCGAUAACUAUUGGAAGACAAUGCCACCUACCAAGAUUGGCUGACUGAAGCGAAAUAAGGAGUUGUGGGAUGAAAAAUAUGACAAGUAGGCAUGGAUGAAGGUCAAGCCAGGCAAAAGGCAAACAGAAGGACCCUCUGGGCAGUCAAGCAAAAUUUUUUCGACAACUAUAAGGAGUUUCUGUCAAGUUGCCUACAUUUUAAUUUUUAACAUUGUGGAUGAUAUCGAAGAAAAACUUAAGCUUCUGGACUUCACUAUUGUAGUAAUUCUUAAAAUUAGUAUGAUAAUUGUAAAAAAAUCAAUGACGAAAAAGGAGAAAUAAAAACACCACUUAAACCAGUACCUGAAGUCUACUGAAUUUUAUGUGUGUUA
Long non-coding RNA from Acanthaster planci (crown-of-thorns starfish), 2688 nucleotides. NCBI's taxonomy places the organism in Eukaryota, Metazoa, Echinodermata, Asteroidea, Valvatida, Acanthasteridae. The record is from RefSeq and is a predicted model, not a curated record.